RNAcentral lists this ribosomal RNA (254 nucleotides) under uncultured bacterium. RNAcentral's name for it is "partial 16S ribosomal RNA". It matches the Rfam family "Bacterial small subunit ribosomal RNA", at positions 524 to 776 of the family's 1533-position model. The record is from RNAcentral.
UACGGGGGGAGCAAGCGUUGUUCGGAUUUACUGGGCGUAAAGGGCGCGUAGGCGGCCACCGCAAGUCGACUGUGAAAUCUCCGGGCUUAACCCGGAAAGGUCAGCCGAUACUGCGGGGCUAGAGUGCAGAAGGGGCAACUGGAAUUCUCGGUGUAGCGGUGAAAUGCGUAGAUAUCGAGAGGAACACCUGCGGCGAAGGCGGGUUGCUGGGCUGACACUGACGCUGAUGAGCGAAAGCUAGGGGAGCAAACGGG